GGAAAAACACUUGCUAAAUAUCAAAGGUAUUGUAAAACAGCUUUGUUAAGUUCAAACAGCUUAGAGGGUUUUAUUCACAGCUAUAUCUAUGUUUUAGACAUCGGGACACAACUGAGACAGAAGAGCCAACAACAGCCUGCCCCUACUGUGCUUUCCAGCUCCCAGAGUGUGAACUUCUGUGUCCUAGCUGUAAAAACAACCUUCCAUACUGCAUUGCAACUGGUCGGCACAUGGUACGCGAUGACUGGACAGUUUGCCCACACUGUGACUUUCCUGCCCUCUACUCAGAAUUCAAAAGCAUGUUACAGACUGAAAAUGUGUGUCCCAUGUGUUCUGAAAGGAUUAAUAUUGUUGAGCUAAAGAAAAUAAAUGACUGCACAGAGUACCUCAAACUAGAAGAUGAGGACCAGUAAAUUCAGAAUUGUUUGUGUUGGCUGGCAAACAGCAAGGAAAGUUCUUCCCUACAUCACACAUCUCUUCCCCAGAAAGGCCUAAUAACAGCCAUGUCACUUCUAUUUUGUCAUAUGUGUAACUAUUUAGCUUUUGAUAAAUUUUGUACUUCAGUUUGUUGUAGUAAUAAAACUGGUAAUUAUUACAAACAAAACCUGCAUUUUAUCUGCACCAAAGAAAAACCACAGGGCCAUCUUUGUAAUGUGAAUGGCAGGAAGAAAAACCACCUCCCUGCUUUUCUCUUUUUCAGUAUCAGUUCUGAACUGUUAUGAAUAAACUUUUUUUACUCUUUAAAUAUUCCUUUCUGGUUUUGAUUAAAGACAGAACUUGUACAAGUACAGGCUACUCAAGUUUUGCAGGUAAAUCCCUCACUUCUUUUCUGUGUCUCCAACUGAACAAAAGGGAAAUUGUAGGAAAAGAGGAAUUCCACAUCAUGUAUUCAAAGGAAAAACAAAACUGUGAAAUAAAGGAGAGAGACAGGACAGAACAGUCCAUUAACUUAAACAAAGCUUUAAAAGAGUCCUAUGAAGCAUUUUAUUGUAAUCUUAUAUACUGCUUAAUUUCUAUAAUGUACAAAUAGGCCAUUCAUGUAUGGGGUUUUUGCAUAAUUUCUAUUUACAAGACUUCACCACAUAAUGUCAGGGGCUUUGUAUAAAAAAAAAAAAA
This is a long non-coding RNA of Ficedula albicollis (Collared flycatcher), 1116 nucleotides long. RefSeq lists it as uncharacterized. The record is from RefSeq and is a predicted model, not a curated record. The transcript is spliced from 4 exons. NCBI's taxonomy places the organism in Eukaryota, Metazoa, Chordata, Aves, Passeriformes, Muscicapidae.